Molecule: unclassified non-coding RNA, 2252 nt
Filed under: uncultured fungus
Lineage: Eukaryota; Fungi
Description: sequence contains 18S rRNA gene, ITS1, 5.8S rRNA gene, ITS2, 28S rRNA gene
Rfam family: Eukaryotic large subunit ribosomal RNA (bases 1308-2252)
Source: RNAcentral
AGAUGGAUCAUUCAUAAGUUACUAUUCAGUUAAUAUGGUGGUUUAUUAUGGUUCGUGUAACAAAUAAAAUAAAAGAUUUUGGUGUAAUCUUCGUGUAACAAGCGAAAGACUCUGGUAUAAUGCCCGUGUAACAAACGAAAUGAAAGACUCUGGUGUAAUCUUCGUGUAACAAGCGAAAGACUCUGGUAUAAUGCCCGUGUAACAAACGAAAUGAAAGACUCUGGUGUAAUCUUCGUGUAACAAGCGAACUAAACGACUCUGGUCUAAUGUUCGUGUAACAAGCGAACUUAAAGACUCUGGUAUUUUGCCCGUGUAACAAGCGAACUUAAAGACUCUGGUGUUUUGCCCACUUAAAGACUCUGGUAUUUUGUUCGUGUAACUUGCGAACUUAAAGACUCUGGUGUAAUCUUCGUGUAACAAGCGAACUAAACGACUCUGGUGUAAUGCCCGUGUAACAAACUGAACGAAAGACUCUGGUGUAAUCUUUGUGUAACAAGCGAUAUAAAAGACUCUGGUAUUUUGCCCGUGUAACAAGCGAAAUGAAAGUCUCUGGUGUAAUCUUCGUGUAACAAGCGAAAGACUUUGGUCUAAUGCCCGUGUAACAAGUGAACUAAACGACUGUUGUCUAAUGCCCGUGUAACAAGCGAACUUAAAGACUCUGGUGUAAUCUUCGUGUAACAAGCGAACUAAACGACUCUGGUGUAAUGCCCGUGUAACAAGCGAACUUAAAGACUCUUGUGUAAUCUUCGUGUAACAAGCGAACUAAACGACUCUGGUGUAAUCUUCGUGUAACAAGCAAAAGACUCUGGUUUAUUUGCCGCGUACCAACAGGACUAAAAGACUUUGGUCUAAUACCCGUGUAACAGGCGAACUAAACGACUCUGGUCUAAUGCCCGUGUAACAAGCGAACUUAAAGACUCUGGUUUAAUGCAGCAAGCGAACUUAAAGACUCUAAUUUAAUGCCCGUGUAACAAGCGAACUAAAAGACUCUGGUUUAUCGAAAAUAUGCAAGUAAAAAAGAUUAUAUUUAUAUCUUUCAGCGAUGGAUGGCUCGGAUCUCAUAACGAUGAAGAACGUAGCUAGCUGCGAAAUGCAGUGUGACAUGCAAACUUCUGUGAAUCAUUAGAUUUUUGAACGCAAAAGGUACUUCUAAAUUCUGGGAGUAUGUUUAUUUCAGUGCUUUUCUAUGUUUGUUGUCCAAAUUGGUGGUCAACGUGGAUAGUGGCUGUGAUAAUGGCCACUUUAAGAGAAUGGUUAUAGUUUUUAGGUGUCACUGAAGAAACUAUAACUAAUAAUAUUUUUUUAACAAGCCUGAAAUUGAACAAGUAUACCCGUUGAACUUAAGCAUAUUAUUAGGCGGAGGAAAAGGAACUAACAAGGAUUUCCUUAGUAACGGCGAGUGAACAGGAAACAGCUCAAACUGAAAAUCGACAGUUUUCUGUCGAAUUGUAGUCUCAUGAAGUGCAGCCUGUAAAUAUUUUGUAUUAAGUCUCUUGGAAAAGAGUACCACAGAGGGUGAGAGUCCCGUCUUUAUUCAAAAUUAUUUACUUUCGGUGCAUUUUCAAAGAGUCGCGUUCUUUGAGAUUGGAACGCCAAGUGGGUGAUAAACUUCAUCUAAAGCUAAAUAUAAGUGAGAUUCCGAUAGAAUACAAGUACCGUGAGGGAACGAUGAAAAGAACUUUGAAAAGAGAGUUAAAAGGUACUGAAAUUGCUGAAAGGGAAGUGGAGGGUUUCAACUGUUAAGCAAUGUUCUGCAUGUGUUCGGGGUAUUUUCUUGUCCAUGAACAUAUGGUGGAGUUUUGCGGUAACACUGGAUGUGGUUGUUUAGCUUGAUUACAGUAUUGCUUGGCUCUAUUUUAGAGCUCAAUCUUUGCUGGUUUCAAGCUGGAUAAUCUAUGUAUUUCUGAUUUAACAGUACUGUUAAAUUAUACUUUUCCAGGAAUGUUGAUUCCCUCCUCCCCGUCUUGAAUCACGGACCAAGGAGUCUAUUUUAUGUGUGAGUACAAGGGUUGAAAACCCGCGUGCGAAAUAAAAGUAACAGUUAGGAUGGUUUUACCUGCACUAACAUUCGGUCACUGAAUCGAAGUUGAACACAUAAAAUAGGACCCGAAAGAUGGUGAACUAUGCCUGAGUAGGGUGAAGCUAGAGGAAACUCUGGUGGAAGCUCGUAGCGAUACUGACGUGCAAAUCGUUCGUCAAACUUUGGUAUAGGGGCGAAAGACCAAUCGAACCAUCUAGUAGCUGGUUCAUUC